This 2072-nucleotide ribosomal RNA is filed under the name Escherichia coli. RNAcentral describes it as "partial 23S ribosomal RNA". It matches the Rfam family "Bacterial large subunit ribosomal RNA", at positions 418 to 2475 of the family's 2925-position model. Lineage: Bacteria; Pseudomonadati; Pseudomonadota; Gammaproteobacteria; Enterobacterales; Enterobacteriaceae. The record is from RNAcentral.
CGGGACACGUGGUAUCCUGUCUGAAUAUGGGGGGACCAUCCUCCAAGGCUAAAUACUCCUGACUGACCGAUAGUGAACCAGUACCGUGAGGGAAAGGCGAAAAGAACCCCGGCGAGGGGAGUGAAAAAGAACCUGAAACCGUGUACGUACAAGCAGUGGGAGCACGCUUAGGCGUGUGACUGCGUACCUUUUGUAUAAUGGGUCAGCGACUUAUAUUCUGUAGCAAGGUUAACCGAAUAGGGGAGCCGAAGGGAAACCGAGUCUUAACUGGGCGUUAAGUUGCAGGGUAUAGACCCGAAACCCGGUGAUCUAGCCAUGGGCAGGUUGAAGGUUGGGUAACACUAACUGGAGGACCGAACCGACUAAUGUUGAAAAAUUAGCGGAUGACUUGUGGCUGGGGGUGAAAGGCCAAUCAAACCGGGAGAUAGCUGGUUCUCCCCGAAAGCUAUUUAGGUAGCGCCUCGUGAAUUCAUCUCCGGGGGUAGAGCACUGUUUCGGCAAGGGGGUCAUCCCGACUUACCAACCCGAUGCAAACUGCGAAUACCGGAGAAUGUUAUCACGGGAGACACACGGCGGGUGCUAACGUCCGUCGUGAAGAGGGAAACAACCCAGACCGCCAGCUAAGGUCCCAAAGUCAUGGUUAAGUGGGAAACGAUGUGGGAAGGCCCAGACAGCCAGGAUGUUGGCUUAGAAGCAGCCAUCAUUUAAAGAAAGCGUAAUAGCUCACUGGUCGAGUCGGCCUGCGCGGAAGAUGUAACGGGGCUAAACCAUGCACCGAAGCUGCGGCAGCGACGCUGAUGCGUUGUUGGGUAGGGGAGCGUUCUGUAAGCCUGUGAAGGUGUGCUGUGAGGCAUGCUGGAGGUAUCAGAAGUGCGAAUGCUGACAUAAGUAACGAUAAAGCGGGUGAAAAGCCCGCUCGCCGGAAGACCAAGGGUUCCUGUCCAACGUUAAUCGGGGCAGGGUGAGUCGACCCCUAAGGCGAGGCCGAAAGGCGUAGUCGAUGGGAAACAGGUUAAUAUUCCUGUACUUGGUGUUACUGCGAAGGGGGGACGGAGAAGGCUAUGUUGGCCGGGCGACGGUUGUCCCGGUUUAAGCGUGUAGGCUGGUUUUCCAGGCAAAUCCGGAAAAUCAAGGCUGAGGCGUGAUGACGAGGCACUACGGUGCUGAAGCAACAAAUGCCCUGCUUCCAGGAAAAGCCUCUAAGCAUCAGGUAACAUCAAAUCGUACCCCAAACCGACACAGGUGGUCAGGUAGAGAAUACCAAGGCGCUUGAGAGAACUCGGGUGAAGGAACUAGGCAAAAUGGUGCCGUAACUUCGGGAGAAGGCACGCUGAUAUGUAGGUGAAGCGACUUGCUCGUGGAGCUGAAAUCAGUCGAAGAUACCAGCUGGCUGCAACUGUUUAUUAAAAACACAGCACUGUGCAAACACGAAAGUGGACGUAUACGGUGUGACGCCUGCCCGGUGCCGGAAGGUUAAUUGAUGGGGUCAGCGCAAGCGAAGCUCUUGAUCGAAGCCCCGGUAAACGGCGGCCGUAACUAUAACGGUCCUAAGGUAGCGAAAUUCCUUGUCGGGUAAGUUCCGACCUGCACGAAUGGCGUAAUGAUGGCCAGGCUGUCUCCACCCGAGACUCAGUGAAAUUGAACUCGCUGUGAAGAUGCAGUGUACCCGCGGCAAGACGGAAAGACCCCGUGAACCUUUACUAUAGCUUGACACUGAACAUUGAGCCUUGAUGUGUAGGAUAGGUGGGAGGCUUUGAAGUGUGGACGCCAGUCUGCAUGGAGCCGGCCUUGAAAUACCACCCUUUAAUGUUUGAUGUUCUAACGUUGACCCGUGAUCCGGGUUGCGGACAGUGUCUGGUGGGUAGUUUGACUGGGGCGGUCUCCUCCUAAAGAGUAACGGAGGAGCACGAAGGUUGGCUAAUCCUGGUCGGACAUCAGGAGGUUAGUGCAAUGGCAUAAGCCAGCUUGACUGCGAGCGUGACGGCGCGAGCAGGUGCGAAAGCAGGUCAUAGUGAUCCGGUGGUUCUGAAUGGAAGGGCCAUCGCUCAACGGAUAAAAGGUACUCCGGGGAU